This is a non-coding RNA of Callithrix jacchus (white-tufted-ear marmoset), 2295 nucleotides long. The record is from RefSeq and is a predicted model, not a curated record. Lineage: Eukaryota; Metazoa; Chordata; Mammalia; Primates; Cebidae.
CAGCCUCCUGGGACACACACACACACAUACGCGCGCGCGCACACACACACACACACACACACGCACACCCCACAAACAACAGCCCAGGCUGGAUCUUUCCUCCAGUCUCUUCUCUUGGUAAAACUUCUCGGAGACCCAAAGAGAGGACCCAAAAUCCUGAGGCCAGCUGGCAGCAGCAGAGAAGCCGAGGGAGACUAGAGGAUGUAGUCUGCCCUGCCCUGCUGCGGCUGCUGAACUUUCUUCUUUUUCCUGAAAACAUCCAGUCUCUCUCUUCUCCCAGACUGGGAAGCAGAACACAGGCCCCCUGCUGCGACACUGCCCCUGAGCCGAGGCUGACCUCAGAGGAGAUAAAGCCACUGGGCUACUGAUGCUGUGAUCCAUAGCCCUCAUUCCCAACUGCAGGAAAGACCAACUUCUGCAGGAGAUAAAGCCACUGGGCUACUGAUGCUGUGAUCAUAGCCCUCAUUCCCAACUGAAGGAAAGACCACAUUUCGGUUAAAGCAGGUGCAGGGACACAGGUGAGCAGAAAGCGUUUAGGGACGUGUCCAGGGUCUUGGCAACAGGCUGGAGUUUGGAAGAAGUCUGGAUGAGCAGCCACAGUGCCCUCUCUCUUCCUCAUCCCUGGAUGCAUCCCACCCAGCCCAGAACUGAGAACAUUAACCCAGCUCCUCUGAUGGAAGACUCCCUCAUACAGCUUCAGAGUCUCGGGUUUCCCAGAUGCCCUAUAGCUUCUUGCAGAGUGCGAAGCCUGCUCCUCUCCCCCAGGGGCCUUGCUGGGACUGCAGUCUUGCUGCUGGUGGCCUAAUAGCAGGUGUGCCUGGGCGUACCACGGUGGUGCAGCUUGUCUUAUCCCUACUCCCUGAUGGUUUGGGUCUCUACAGCUUUCCACCUCCCCUGGGUUGGGCCCUAUCCCUGACUCCAGAAGUUAAGUGACGUUGGUUCCAGAAGGUGCCAUAUUCAGUCUCCCCUGGGUCUUUGUGCGGUUGUUCCUCUGCCUGGAAUGUUCUUCCCACUUGCCUACACUGCAUGUAAAACCCUAUCUUGGCUUAGAUAGCACUUCCUCGAGGAGGCUUUCUCAGAGCCCUCCCUGCCGAGGCGGCGUGCCUUGUGGUAUCAGAUCCCACUGAACUGUAAUUGUAUUUACUUUGUGUUUUCCUCCCCACCAGGCUGGGAUGAUGCACUUGCCCCAUUCACAGCUGUAUCAUGUAGCACAAGCCCAGCACCUUUGAUGUGUGAUAAAAUGAAUGAAUGGGCAAAUGAACAAGUGGUGAAUGAAUGAAUGAGUCAAUGGACCGGUGUUCCCUCACCCAGGGAACGUGCCUUCUUUGCAGCCCUCUUCCACCCCUUACUCACGGGUGUGCAUUUGAUUCCUGAAGCAUCAGAGCGGCUCCCCACCCUCCAUCCAAGACUCCAGCAGAGCCUGCCUGGGCAUCGCUUCCAGGAUUACUCCUGGACCAACUUCGCCUGAGUAUUUCCGCAGCCUCAUCAUCUGGGGAAUAUAUAAAAAUAGUAAAUGGUUCCCCUGGCAACCACCACAGCAAAUGGUAACCAGGGUGGGCAGUCCAGGAAAGCCUCAAGGUUGGGAGGAGAACAAACGCCAUCCUCACUGCUCACUCUCUGAAUCUUGGCCGGCCAGGGUUACCUCCGAGCGCCUCGCCUAGCCUCAUGGCUUCCCAGAGACGACCUGCUCUGGAGCCCAAAGGGAAAUAACAGGCUGGAGAAGCUGCCCCAUCAGCCCAGACCAUCUGUCCCUGUCAGUCCCUGGACUGCCACCCCCGCACUCUCUCUGUAGGGUCCCCAAGCCAGGCUCUAGGAGAUCCUGAGAGUGGGAAAGUCCAGCAGCUGAGACACUAAGCGGGACUGGAGGCAGAGCCUGGAGGGACUGUGACCCUGAGGUGUCAGGGAGCGGAAGCCUAAGGUCUCCAGUGGGUGGUGGUGGGUGCAGCUAUCUCAGAGUAGCCUCAUCAGCCAGGCUGCUGCUGUCUUUUCCCUGUGCGUGAGUGAAGCUUUUGCUCCCCUGUCAUCCCCCCACCUCCUGGAAUAUUGAGUUCACUGCAUCCCGGUGGCUGUGGUUACCUCCACCCUGUCCUCGCCCUCGCAGCUGAAGCCUACUUCCUGCCUCGCUGCCCCAGCCUGCCUUUCGUCUAAGUCGGUCCUGAUGGACAUUACAAGAGCCAGGCCAUGUGAGCUGUGCCUGGGACUCCUUUGUCUCAUCUCCAUGUUUCUGGAUUUGGCCUCGGCAUUGAGGACUCUCCUACUACUCAGGAUCCCUGAAAUAAAUCUGUUGCCCUCCUG